This 375-nucleotide ribosomal RNA is filed under the name uncultured bacterium. Its description in RNAcentral is "bacterial SSU rRNA". It matches the Rfam family "Bacterial small subunit ribosomal RNA", at positions 144 to 507 of the family's 1533-position model. The record is from RNAcentral.
UAACGCCUGAAACGGGUGCUAAUGCCGGAUAGGGCAACUGGUAGGCAUCUACCGGUUGGGAAAGGUGCAACUGCACCGCAGAUGGAGGAGCCCGCGGCGCAUUAGCUAGUUGGUGGGGUAACGGCCCACCAAGGCGACGAUGCGUAGCCGACCUGAGAGGGUGACCGGCCACACUGGGACUGAGACACGGCCCAGACUCCUACGGGAGGCAGCAGUAGGGAAUCUUCGGCAAUGGGCGAAAGCCUGACCGAGCAACGCCGCGUGAGCGAAGAAGGCCUUCGGGUUGUAAAGCUCAGUCACCCGGGAAGAGCGGGCAGGAGAGGGAAUGCUCCUGUCGAGACGGUACCGGGAGAGGAAGCCCCGGCUAACUACGUG